This 1036-nucleotide ribosomal RNA is filed under the name uncultured bacterium. RNAcentral's name for it is "bacterial SSU rRNA". It matches the Rfam family "Bacterial small subunit ribosomal RNA". The record is from RNAcentral.
AGAGUUUGAUCAUGGCUCAGAUUGAACGCUGGCGGCAGGCCUAACACAUGCAAGUCGAGCGGAUGACGGGAGCUUGCUCCUUGAUUCAGCGGCGGACGGGUGAGUAAUGCCUAGGAAUCUGCCUGGUAGUGGGGGACAACGUUUCGAAAGGAACGCUAAUACCGCAUACGUCCUACGGGAGAAAGCAGGGGACCUUCGGGCCUUGCGCUAUCAGAUGAGCCUAGGUCGGAUUAGCUAGUUGGUGAGGUAAUGGCUCACCAAGGCGACGAUCCGUAACUGGUCUGAGAGGAUGAUCAGUCACACUGGAACUGAGACACGGUCCAGACUCCUACGGGAGGCAGCAGUGGGGAAUAUUGGACAAUGGGCGAAAGCCUGAUCCAGCCAUGCCGCGUGUGUGAAGAAGGUCUUCGGAUUGUAAAGCACUUUAAGUUGGGGAGGAAGGGCAGUAAGUUAAUACCUUGCUGUUUUGACGUUACCGACAGAAUAAGCACCGGCUAACUCUGUGCCAGCAGCCGCGGUAAUACAGAGGGUGCAAGCGUUAAUCGGAAUUACUGGGCGUAAAGCGCGCGUAGGUGGUUCGUUAAGUUGGAUGUGAAAGCCCCGGGCUCAACCUGGGAACUGCAUCCAAAACUGGCGAGCUAGAGUACGGUAGAGGGUGGUGGAAUUUCCUGUGUAGCGGUGAAAUGCGUAGAUAUAGGAAGGAACACCAGUGGCGAAAGCGACCACCUGGACUGAUACUGACACUGAUGUGCGAAAGCGUGGGGAGCAAACAGGAUUAGAUACCCUGGUAGUCCACGCCGUAAACGAUGUCAACUAGCCGUUGGAAUCCUUGAGAUUUUAGUGGCGCAGCUAACGCAUUAAGUUGACCGCCUGGGAGUACGGCCGCAAGGUAAACUCAAUGAAUGACGGAUCGUCGACUGCAGCAUGCAGCUGCACUGUCGUCGUUUACACGUCGUGACUGUAAACCUGCGUACCCACUAUCGCUGCAGCACAUCCCCUUUCGCAGCUGCGUAUAGCGAGAGCCACGAUCGCCCUC